ACCUAUACAGCAUCUCUACCUAUAGACCUAUACAGCAUCUCUACCUACAGACCGAUACAGCAUCUCUACCUACAGACCUAUACAGCAUCUCUACCUAUAGACCUAUACAGCAUCUCUACUUACAGACCGAUACAGCAUCUCUACCUACAGACCUAUACAGCAUCUCUACCUAUAGACCUAUACAGCAUCUCUACUUACAGACCUAUUCAGCAUCUCUACUUACAGACCGAUACAGCAUCUCUACCUACAGACCUAUACAGCAUCUCUAUCUACAGAACUAUACAGACCUAUUCAGCAUCUCUACUUACAGACCGAUACAGCAUCUCUACCUACAGACCUAUACAGCAUCUCUAUCUACAGAACUAUACAGCAUCUCUACCUACAGACCGAUACAGCAUCUCUACCUACAGACAGAUACAGCAUCUCUACCUGCAGACCAAUACAGCAUCUCUACCUACAGACCUAUACAGCAUCUCUACCUAUAGACCGAUACAGCGUCUCUGCCUACAGACCUAUACAGCAUCUCUACCUACAGACCUAUACAGCAUCUCUACCUACAGACCUAUACAGCAUCUUUAUCUACAGGCCUAUACAGCAUCUCUACCUACAUACCUAUACAGCAUCUCUACCUAUAGACCUAUAAAGCAUCUCUACCUACACAACUAUACAGCAUCUCUACCUACAGACAGAUACAGCAUCUAUACCUACAGACCUAUACAGCAUCUCUACCUAUAUACCUAUACAGCAUCUCUACCUACAGACCUAUGCAGCAUCUCUACCUAUAGACCUAUACAGCAUCUCUACCUACACAACUAUACAGCAUCUCUACCUACAGACAGAUACAGCAUCUAUACCUACAGACCUAUACAGCAUCUCUACCUACAGACCUAUGCAGCAUCUCUACCUAUAGACCUAUACAGCAUCUCUACCUAUAGACCUAUACAUCAUCUCUGCCUACAGACCUAUACAGCAUCUCUACUUACAGACCAAUACAGCGUCUCUACCUAUAGACCUAUACAGCAUCUCUACCUACAGACCUAUACAGCAUCUCUACUUACAGACCGAUACAGCAUCUCUACCUACGGACAGAUACAGCGUCUCUACCUAUAG
This 1110-nucleotide long non-coding RNA is filed under the name Oncorhynchus mykiss (rainbow trout). Its description in RNAcentral is "lncRNA (ENSOMYG00000061832.1)". Lineage: Eukaryota; Metazoa; Chordata; Actinopteri; Salmoniformes; Salmonidae. The record is from RNAcentral.